GACAAACGCUGGCGGCGUGCUUAACACAUGCAAGUCGAACGGAGUGCCUUGGAUUGAGACUUCGGUCAAUUUCUUUGGUUACUUAGUGGCGGACGGGUGAGUAACACGUGAGUAACCUGCCCUUGAGAGGGGAAUAACACACCGAAAGGUGUGCUAAUACCGCAUAACAUAUUAAAAUCGCAUGGUUUUAAUAUCAAAGAUUUAUCGCUCAAGGAUGGGCUCGCGGCCGAUUAGGUAGUUGGUGAGGUAAUGGCUCACCAAGCCGACGAUCGGUAGCCGGACUGAGAGGAUGAACGGCCACAUUGGAACUGAGAUACGGCCCAGACUCCUACGGGAGGCAGCAGUCGGGAAUAUUGCGCAAUGGAGGAAACUCUGACGCAGUGACGCCGCGUAUAGGAAGAAGGUUUUCGGAUUGUAAACUAUUGUCGUUAGGGAAGAUACAAGACAGUACCUAAGGAGGAAGCCCCGGCUAACUAUGUG
RNAcentral lists this ribosomal RNA (480 nucleotides) under uncultured bacterium. RNAcentral describes it as "bacterial SSU rRNA". It matches the Rfam family "Bacterial small subunit ribosomal RNA", at positions 28 to 507 of the family's 1533-position model. The record is from RNAcentral.